AGCAGCCGCGGUAAUUCCAGCUCCAAUAGCGUAUAUUAAAGUUGUUGCAGUUAAAAAGCUCGUAGUUGAAUUUCGGGAUCAAAUUGUCGGUCGUGCCUCGGUACGUACUGGCGUCAUUGGUUCCUACCUUCUGAAGAACCACGAUGUCAUUAAUUUGGUGUCGCGGGGAAUCAGGACUGUUACUUUGAAAAAAUUAGAGUGUUUAAAGCAGGCUCGCGCUUGAAUACAUUAGCAUGGAAUAAUGAAAUAGGACGUUUGAUUCUAUUUUGUUGGUUUCUAGGAUCGACGUAAUGAUUAAUAGGGAUAGUUGGGGGCAUUAGUAUUCAAUUGUCAGAGGUGAAAUUCUUGGAUUUAUUGAAGACUAACUACUGCGAAAGCAUUUGCCAAGGAUGUUUUCAUUAAUCAAGAACGAAAGUUAGGGAUCGAAGACGAUCAGAUACCGUCGUAGUCUUAACCAUAAACUAUGCCGACUAGGGAUCGGAUGAUGUUAAUUUUUUAUGUACUUCAUUCGGCGCCUUAC
RNAcentral lists this ribosomal RNA (520 nucleotides) under uncultured Glomus. RNAcentral's name for it is "SSU rRNA". It matches the Rfam family "Eukaryotic small subunit ribosomal RNA", at positions 569 to 1091 of the family's 1831-position model. The record is from RNAcentral. Lineage: Eukaryota; Fungi; Glomeromycota; Glomeromycetes; Glomerales; Glomeraceae.